UACGGGAGGCAGCAGUGGGGGAUAUUGGACAAUGGGGAAGCUGAUCCAGCCAUGCCGCGUGUGUGAGAAGCUUCGGUGUAAAGCACUUUCAGUGAGGAGAACGCUUGUGGGCUAAUACCCUGCAAGAGAGACAUCACUCACAGAAGAAGCACCGGCUAACUCCGUGCCAGCAGCCGCGGUAAUACGGAGGGUGCGAGCGUUAAUCGGAAUUACUGGGCGUAAAGCGCGCGUAGGCGGCUUGAUAAGCCGGUUGUGAAAGCCCCGGGCUCAACCUGGGAACGGCAUCCGGAACUGUCAGGCUAGAGUGCAGGAGAGGAAGGUAGAAUUCCCGGUGUAGCGGUGAAAUGCGUAGAGAUCGGGAGGAAUACCAGUGGCGAAGGCGGCCUUCUGGACUGACACUGACGCUGAGGUGCGAAAGCGUGGGUAGCAAACAGGAUUAGAUACCCUGGUAGUCCACGCCGUAAACGAUGUCGACUAGCCGUUGGGGUCCUCGAGACCUUUGUGGCGCAGUUAACGCGAUAAGUCGACCGCCUGGGGAGUACGGCCGCAAGGUUAAAACUCAAAUGAAUUGACGGGGGCCCGCACAAGCGGUGGAGCAUGUGGUUUAAUUCGAUGCAACGCGAAGAACCUUACCUACUCUUGACAUCGAGCGAACUUUCCAGAGAUGGAAGGGUGCCUUCGGGAACGCUCAGACAGGUGCUGCAUGGCCGUCGUCAGCUCGUGUUGUGAAAUGUUGGGUUAAGUCCCGUAACGAGCGCAACCCUUGUCCCUAUUUGCCAGCGAUUCGGUCGGGAACUCUAGGGAGACUGCCGGUGACAAACCGGAGGAAGGUGGGGACGACGUCAGGUCAUCAUGGCCCUUACGAGUAGGGCUACACACGUGCUACAAUGGCCGGUACAGAGGGUGGCAAUGCCGCGAGGUGGAGCUAAUCUCAUAAAGCCGGUCUCAGUCCGGAUCGGAGUCUGCAACUCGACUCCGUGAAGUCGGAAUCGCUAGUAAUCGUGAAUCAGAAUGUCACGGUGAAUACGUUCCCGGGCCUUGUACACACCGCCCGUCACACCAUGGGAGUGGACUGCACCAGAAGUGGUUAGCCUAACUUCGGAGGGCGAUCACCACG
Molecule: ribosomal RNA, 1117 nt
Filed under: Halomonas sp.
Lineage: Bacteria; Pseudomonadati; Pseudomonadota; Gammaproteobacteria; Oceanospirillales; Halomonadaceae
Description: bacterial SSU rRNA
Rfam family: Bacterial small subunit ribosomal RNA
Source: RNAcentral